UACAGAGGUCUCAAGCGUUGUUCGGAUUCAUUGGGCGUAAAGGGUGCGUAGGCGGCGCGGUAAGUCGGGUGUGAAAUCUCGGAGCUUAACUCCGAAACUGCAUUCGAUACUGCCGUGCUUGAGGACUGGAGAGGAGACUGGAAUUUACGGUGUAGCGGUGAAAUGCGUAGAUAUCGUAAGGAAGACCAGUGGCGAAGGCGGGUCUCUGGACAGUUCCUGACG
Molecule: ribosomal RNA, 222 nt
Filed under: uncultured bacterium
Lineage: Bacteria
Description: partial 16S ribosomal RNA
Rfam family: Bacterial small subunit ribosomal RNA
Source: RNAcentral